This is a long non-coding RNA of Heterocephalus glaber (naked mole-rat), 2016 nucleotides long. The record is from Ensembl. Lineage: Eukaryota; Metazoa; Chordata; Mammalia; Rodentia; Bathyergidae.
GUGCAUUGAAACAGAGACAGCACUUAGAACACUGCACAGCCUGGUCCACAGCGUGUGUUCAGUGCACAGCGUAUCUGCUAGGCUAGGAGUAGUUUUUGCCAGUUUAUUAACAGGAGACUAAGCUCCCGGCAGGAAGGGUCUGCAUGGUCUUGUUUAUCACUGUGCCUUAGUACUUGACUAUUCAUUGUCUUUUUUUUUAAGGCUAACUUAUUAAUUUUUAAAUUUUUAAAGUUGUUAAAUUUUUCCCCUUUAGCUGCCCAGAAUUUAAAUUCUGUGACCAUAAGCUGAUUGCUCCCUAUUUUGAAGGCACCAGCAUGAACCUGAUUGAAUGUAAGAGCAGCAUGUGAUAAGGGCAGUUGGUCAUUAUUGAGUAUUUUUGCUGGCCAGAGCUAAGUGCUCUUCAUACAGAUCUCACUGAAUCUUCAACUCAAUCCCAUUUUACGGAUGAGGAAACCAAGGCCUAGUGGGGGCACCGGCCUCUCACAAGAGGACAUCUGGUGCAGUGUUUAAAAGCUGGGGCUCUGGAGUUCCUCUGCCUGAGUUGAAUCCCCACCUUGUCACUUUCUGCCUCUGUGACCUCCAACCUGUGAUUUUUCUGCAUGCCAUGUUCUUCUUAUCUGUAAAGUAGGAAUGAUAAUAGUACCGACUUAGAGUGCAGCUCUGAGGCUUAGGGGUUGUUCACAUGCAGUGCUUAGAACAGCACCUUGUACAUGGUGAGCACUGGGGUUGUGGUGAUGGUUGUUAUUCUUAGCCAGCUCAGUUUUGCUUCCAGAGCAGGCUGGAGGAGCCCAGCAGCAGCGUUUAAUCAUUAACUAUCGCCUAUGAGCUGGCACCCCAUCUCUGAGCUGGCACUCCAUCUACAGGGGCCAGAGAGCCCACCUUUGGAUUAUGAGGCUCAGUGAAGCAGCCAGCUGCAAGCCCAGAACAGGGUAUGCCGUGGCACUCAUCCAGCCCUGGCUGCAUCUGUACAAACAGGUGGCCUGCUCCUGAAUCAGAGGUAACAGGCCAGGCGUCUUUGUUACCUUUGAGCUUUCUCUUAAGCCCAUUCAGACUCUCCAGACCCACGUGCCUGAUGAGUAAGGAAUCCUUUUAUUUUCCUCCUCCAAAGGGACUAGCAAAUCAGACCUCUUUGGGAAUGUGCCUGUUCACGAACACCAACCAUCUCCCAGGGAACUCUGGUGGCUGGCGCUUUCUUGCAGCAGUUGAAUAAGUUGCUGUUAGAAGCUGGCACGGCAGGUUCUUGUUUCCGCAUUCCAGACACCCACAGCAGCUGGGGGAGGCACCACCCUAGGUCGGCCUGAGAGCUCAUGCAGGUGGCCUUUGCCUUGGGAAGACCCAGGACAGGAGCCACACCUGGGGCCAGCCUAACAGUCACCUGCUUACUUUGUGAUCAGGGCUGUGUUCCGGGAUGCCUUUUAGAAAGGGUGGGUGGAGUGUUGAGGACGUGAGAAGAAAAUGGAGGCCAUUUCUCUCCAGAUGAGUUGGUGAGUCUUUUAAUUGAGCUUCUACUGAAUGCAGGCAUCUGUGCCAGGGACUGUGGGGCGUCCCAGCCUGGUUGGUACAGGCAAGCUGUGUGGCCCCGAGUGAGUUCUGUUCUUGAGUUCCUUCUUAUGAAAUAGGAAAUAAUCAGUAGCCACUGAGUCAUGGAGAUAGAGUGCGCAGAGCCUGGACAAGGAGUGGUGCUCAGUGUCGGCCAUCUCUUGUCGCCACACCUGCCCUUAGGUCCCCGGAUCCCUUGCUGACCUUACCUCUAGUUUGCUGUAUUCUGGCUGCUUUGGCCUCUGGUUGUUCCUCCCUUUGGCCCUCCCGUGGUGAUUCCCUACCCCCAGUGUCCCCAAAGCUGGCUCCUUCCUCCAGGACUCUGCUUAAAUGUCAUCUUAUUAGUAAGACUUCUUUCCUUAUUCAAUAGUGCCUUUUCAGUCAUGUUCUAGCCCUAAAUUUACUCUGCUUUAUUUUUCACUGCAGCAUUUAUUCACACUUGACUUAUUAUGUGCUUCUCAAGCGUAGACUCCAUGG